GGUAACCUGCCUUACACAGGGGGAUAACACCUGGAAACAGGUGCUAAUACCGCAUAAGCGCACAGGGCCGCAUGGCCCGGUGUGAAAAACUCCGGUGGUGUAAGAUGGACCCGCGUCUGAUUAGCUUGUUGGCGGGGUAGGGGCCCACCAAGGCGACGAUCAGUAGCCGGCCUGAGAGGGUGGACGGCCACAUUGGGACUGAGACACGGCCCAAACUCCUACGGGAGGCAGCAGUGGGGGAUAUUGGACAAUGGGGGAAACCCUGAUCCAGCGACGCCGCGUGAGUGAAGAAGUAUUUCGGUAUGUAAAGCUCUGUCAGCAGGGAAGAAAGAAAUGACGGUACCUGACCAAGAAGCCCCGGCUAACUACGUGCCAGCAGCCGCGGUAAUACGUAGGGGGCAAGCGUUAUCCGGAAUUACUGGGUGUAAAGGGAGCGUAGACGGUGAUGCAAGUCUGGAGUGAAAGGCGGGGGCCCAACCCCCGGACUGCUCUGGAAACUGUGUAACUUGAGUGCAGGAGAGGUAAGCGGAAUUCCUAGUGUAGCGGUGAAAUGCGUAGAUAUUAGGAGGAACACCAGUGGCGAAGGCGGCUUACUGGACUGUAACUGACGUUGAGGCUCGAAAGCGUGGGGAGCAAACAGGAUUAGAUACCCUGGUAGUCCACGCCGUAAACGAUGAUUACUAGGUGUC
Molecule: ribosomal RNA, 689 nt
Filed under: uncultured bacterium
Lineage: Bacteria
Description: bacterial SSU rRNA
Rfam family: Bacterial small subunit ribosomal RNA
Source: RNAcentral